Molecule: long non-coding RNA, 1910 nt
Filed under: Helianthus annuus (common sunflower)
Lineage: Eukaryota; Viridiplantae; Streptophyta; Magnoliopsida; Asterales; Asteraceae
Description: hypothetical non coding rna
Source: RNAcentral
UGUUCAUAUUGUUUCUCCGAAACCCUAAUUACACCCCCUUUCUCUGAAACCCUAACUACAGCCGCCUUCAACAAUCUUCGUAUCACCAUCAUCAUCGUUCAAUCCCAGAACUUCAUCAUCCUUUUUUUUAAACCGUCUUUUUUCAUCUUCUUGUGAGGUUUUUACUACACAGAUCUAAAAUGCAGGUUUAAUUCGAUCCAAGGCAGCACAACGGCAUCAAUCACAAUUCUAUUUAUUCUUCCUAAUCGGUUUCUUCUCUGGUUUCUUUUCUCUGGAAACCCUAAAAUCUAUAGCCAUUUUAUUAUUCAUUCGAAUUCAACAUUAUGGUUUGUGGCUACAAAUCAGAUACAUGACCACAAUUUUUUCGAGAAUGAAUUUUUUUGUCGGAAGAGGGAUGUGUUGGGAGGAUGGUGUGAUUCAGGCAGCGUUUUUAUAGCCGAUGUAGUCUAAAGAUGAAGCCCAGGCCAAGGCCACCGAAGUGUCGGAAAAGGGAUGUGUUGGGAGGAUGGUGUGAUUCAGGCAGCGUUAAGCAACAGUCUUCAUUUACACUGUGUUCCAGAGUUUACUAACGGAAGGAAAGGAAAGGAAACAGAAAGAAAAGAAAUCGAAGAAAGAGGCGAUCAAAAGUUCUUCUGGUGCAUUGAAGGAUACUAUUAUGUGAUUUGCAUGGCAAACUGAUCAAUGGCUCGCCUCGACUCAUGCGGCGGAGAGAUAUAGUUGGGAGAAGUGAUGUCGUCCCUGGUGGAGGAGCGACGCACCUUAGUUGGUGACAAUCUGUUUUCAUGGUGAUGUUUUUUUAGAAGAAUGCUUAAUCGGAAUUCGUAUCGAUCAAUCUCUAGCUUUCACAAAACAUUUAAUUUAGUAAUUGUGAUUCAAGUGAUGCAAUAUAAUUAUCAAAACUUAUAAAUUGGUUGUUUGUUUUGUUAUCGUGCGAUCGGCAGCAGCAGUUCAACCACACACAACUGGCUUCAGAAAAUUCUAAAAGGCAAUCCCAAAAUUAACCAAGUUUCUGAACCAUAUAUUGAUGAGAAGAGCUGUCAUAGCAUGCGUCCUCGAAGCGUAGGAUUGUCCCCAAGAGUUUCAACUAUAAGGAUGCAAUCUCCUCAUAUGGUUAAUAAUAAUAAUAAUGAGUCACAGCUUCAAAAUCUAUAAUUUAUUAAGGUGUAGUAGUAAGUGUAAAUUCGAUAAUUUCUUAAGGUGUAGAUGUAUUAUUUGUACUCAUAUUUCCACUUAAAAUUUCCAGGAGGUUUUAUUAGUAAACUCCCACUUUAACACCAUUUGCAACUCUAAGGUUUUACUCUUAUUUUUUACUCAAGAUUACUUAUAUAUAUAUAUAUAUAUAUAUAGAAGUGAAUUGAAUGUUGCAAAUAUUAAUCAAGAUAUCCAAAAUAUAUUACUCUUAUUGUUAUGUCUGUAUUUGUAAUUUACAAGUUAGAUUAUUACCGGGUCAGAAAGGUAGCAAUAUACCUCAACUCCUCCUCUAAUGGUAAUAACUAGAGCUGAAGGUCGUGCAUGGAACGUAAGGGUGAAACUACUGCAUAAGUUAUGUCAUUUGACUACUGGUUGGAAGAAUUGCAGAAUGCCAUCAGUAUUUUACCGAGUAGCUAGCACAAUUGGGUAGCUGAUUAUAAAUUAGCUCCUGAUGGUAUGGUUCGAAUCAUUACCAUGGAUGAAAUAAUUUUUACUGUCAAGAUUAGGAAAGCAGGUUCUUCAUACUUUUUCCACGACGGAUGGUCCAAUAUGAUUCAGUAAUUAAUAUUACCAUAGGGUUCAUUGCUUUUGUUAUUGUACGCAGGUAGUUUAACUUUUAGAUUGAUAUACUUUUAUCAAUAUUUGGCUUUUGCUCAAGGUGAUUUCUUAUAUUGUCAAACAUCUCAAUUCUCUGAACAUAAAGAUUAUUUGGUAAGUAU